GACAGAGGGUGCAAACGUUGUUCGGAAUUACUGGGCGUAAAGCGCGUGUAGGCGGCUCGGCAAGUCGGGUGUGAAGGCCCUGGGCUUAACCUAGGAAGUGCACUCGAAACUGCCAAGCUUGAGUUCUGGAGAGGAAGGCGGAAUUCUCGGUGUAGAGGUGAAAUUCGUAGAUAUCGAGAGGAACACCGGUGGCGAAGGCGGCCUUCUGGACAGCAACUGACGCUGAGACGCGAAAGCGUGGGGAGCAAACAGG
RNAcentral lists this ribosomal RNA (253 nucleotides) under uncultured bacterium. RNAcentral's name for it is "partial 16S ribosomal RNA". It matches the Rfam family "Bacterial small subunit ribosomal RNA", at positions 524 to 776 of the family's 1533-position model. The record is from RNAcentral.